UGGUGGGCGUGGCUGAAUUUAGUUGCGCAUGCUCAGUAGAUUUAUUAGCUGUGAAACCAUGUGCUGCUCCAAAAGACAAGAACAAAGACAAGAGACAAGACAGGAUUUGUUCACUGCAUUACAUGAAGUGGAUGAUGUUACAAUGUACUUCUAUGACAGUAAAUACUAACUGGCAAGUAUACAUGUCAAUGUGAGAAAGAAUAAAGCAAUCUGGCCGGAACCAGGCGACCCUACUACCUAUGAAGUGGUACAGUGACAAGGUGGGCGCUUCAUCGUCAAGAGUGAUCGGUCUUGCUAUACCUGAGUUGAUUGUUGUCGAAAAUGCUCAUUUAACUACAAGUUCCAUGGCAGUAUGUUACACCAAGAAGACCUGUUCCGUAAACAAUCAAUUUCCUUUGUAUUGUCACUGUACAAUAUUUUGUCUUUCCUUCUAACUGUUGUUUUGUUUAUAGUUGUUUUGUUUAUAGUAACUGUUGUCACUUUUCACUUAAAAUUAAUGUCACUGUUAACAUUUUUAA
Molecule: long non-coding RNA, 518 nt
Organism: Halichondria panicea
Lineage: Eukaryota; Metazoa; Porifera; Demospongiae; Suberitida; Halichondriidae
Exons: 3
Source: RefSeq, a predicted model, not a curated record